Molecule: ribosomal RNA, 253 nt
Filed under: uncultured bacterium
Lineage: Bacteria
Description: partial 16S ribosomal RNA
Rfam family: Bacterial small subunit ribosomal RNA
Source: RNAcentral
UACGUAGGGUGCGAGCGUUGUCCGGAAUUAUUGGGCGUAAAGGGCUCGUAGGCGGUCUGUUGCGUCGGGAGUGAAAACUCAGGGCUUAACCCUGAGCCUGCUUCCGAUACGGGCAGACUAGAGGUAUGCAGGGGAGAACGGAAUUCCUGGUGUAGCGGUGAGAUGCGCAGAUAUCAGGAGGAACACCGGUGGCGAAGGCGGUUCUCUGGGCAUUACCUGACGCUGAGGAGCGAAAGUGUGGGGAGCGAACAGG